GAUGAACGCUGGCGGCGUGCCUAAUACAUGCAAGUCGAGCGAACAGAUAAGGAGCUUGCUCCUUUGACGUUAGCGGCGGACGGGUGAGUACACGUGGGUAACCUACCUAUAAGACUGGGAUAACUUCGGGAAACCGGAGCUAAUACCGGAUAAUAUUUCGAACCGCAUGGUUCGAUAGUGAAAGAUGGUUUUGCUAUCACUUAUAGAUGGACCCGCGCCGUAUUAGCUAGUUGGUAAGGUAACGGCUUACCAAGGCGACGAUACGUAGCCGACCUGAGAGGGUGAUCGGCCACACUGGAACUGAGACACGGUCCAGACUCCUACGGGAGGCAGCAGUAGGGAAUCUUCCGCAAUGGGCGAAAGCCUGACGGAGCAACGCCGCGUGAGUGAUGAAGGUCUUCGGAUCGUAAAACUCUGUUAUUAGGGAAGAACAUACGUGUAAGUAACUGUGCACGUCUUGACGGUACCUAAUCAGAAAGCCACGGCUAACUACGUG
Molecule: ribosomal RNA, 496 nt
Filed under: uncultured bacterium
Lineage: Bacteria
Description: partial 16S ribosomal RNA
Rfam family: Bacterial small subunit ribosomal RNA
Source: RNAcentral